Non-coding RNA from Plectropomus leopardus (leopard coralgrouper), 186 nucleotides. The record is from RefSeq and is a predicted model, not a curated record. Lineage: Eukaryota; Metazoa; Chordata; Actinopteri; Perciformes; Serranidae.
ACUGAACGGCACUGUUCUGUCUGCUAAAACAAGGAGUAAACCAUCAGGUGGAGAUCAUCAGGUGAAGAAGAUUCCUGCCAUGUUCCCUUCCUCCACCACCAAACCCACAUCUCAAAGGAACCACACACAGGUUGCCAGUUAACACUGAGUGAGGCAAAGAAAUAGUGUGCGAGACUGUGAGAGGAA